GACGAACGCUGGCGGCGUGCCUAAUACAUGCAAGUCGAACGCAGUGGGGACGGGUGAGUAACACGUGGGUAACCUCCCAUCAGAUGGGAUAACACUUGGAAACAGGUGCUAAACCGAUACUGGUUGAUGGACCCGCGGUGCAUUGGCUCGUUGGUGAGGUAACGGCUCACCAAGGCCACGUUGCAUAGCCGACCGGAGAGGGUGAGCGGCCACACUGGGACGGAGACACGGCCCAGACUCCUACGGGAGGCGGCAGUAGGGAAUCUUCUGCAAUGGACGAAAGUCUGACCGAGCAACGCCGAGUGAGGGAAGAAGGUUUUCGGAUCGUAAAACUAUGUUGUUAGAGAAGAGGUAUCUAACCAGAAAGCCACGGCUAACUACGUGCCAGCAGCCGCGGUAAUAC
This 403-nucleotide ribosomal RNA is filed under the name uncultured bacterium. Its description in RNAcentral is "partial 16S ribosomal RNA". It matches the Rfam family "Bacterial small subunit ribosomal RNA", at positions 28 to 526 of the family's 1533-position model. The record is from RNAcentral.